This 658-nucleotide ribosomal RNA is filed under the name uncultured fungus. RNAcentral describes it as "eukaryotic LSU rRNA". It matches the Rfam family "Eukaryotic large subunit ribosomal RNA", at positions 24 to 664 of the family's 3401-position model. Lineage: Eukaryota; Fungi. The record is from RNAcentral.
CCCGCUGAACUUAAGCAUAUCAAUAAGCGGAGGAAAAGAAACUAACAAGGAUUCCCCUAGUAACUGCGAGUGAAGCGGGAAAAGCUCAAAUUUAAAAUCUGGUGGUCUUUGGCUAUCCGAGUUGUAAUCUAGAGAAGUGUUAUCCGCGCUGGACCGUGUACAAGUCUCCUGGAAUGGAGCGUCAUAGAGGGUGAGAAUCCCGUCUUUGACACGGACUGCCAGGGCUUUGUGAUGCGCUCUCAAAGAGUCGGGUUGUUUGGGAAUGCAGCUCCAAAUGGGUGGUAAAUGCCAUCUAAAGCUAAAUACUGGCGAGAGACCGAUAGCAAACAAGUACCGUGAGGGAAAGAUGAAAAGCACUUUGAAAAGAGAGUGAAACAGUACGUGAAAUUGUUGAAAGGGAAACGCUUGAAGUCAGUCACACCGUUCAGGAUUCAGCCUUGCUUCUGCUUGGUUUACUUCCUGUUGGGUGGGUCAACAUCAGUUUCCAUCAGAGGAAAAAGGCUUCGGGAAGGUGGCAGCAUUCGUGCUGUGUUAUAGCCCUUUGCUGUAUACUUUGAUAGAGACUGAGGACUGCAGCACGCCUUCUGGCUGGGGUUCGCCCACAUACGUGCUUAGGAUGUUGGCAUAAUGGCUCUAAGCGACCCGUCUUGAAACACGG